UUUCAACGCUACUAGGAAGCAAUUGGGUUUGGGAUAUGGUCUGAACAAUACAUAUAUAUUGAAACAAGGAUUUAUAACUCGACCCCAAUUUUAAGUACGGAGCGUAGGUCUAUCAGUCUUUUAUCAAAAUAAAAGUACUAGACCCCACGCAGUACAACUUCCUUUCAAGCUUAUCAAUAUGCUUCGCAUACCCUUUCUCUGCAAUACUAUUUUCCCCAAAUACCAAACUUACUUGAUUCAAUUCAUAAUUCUCACAAGGCAUUUGCAAUCUUGGCUAUUCAAAUCUAACUAAGCCAAACUCUCUCUCCUCAUUUUCAAGCUUAAUUUGGAGUCACCAAUUCCUCCACCUAACACCGUAACAUAGCACCAUUCCGAAUUAUAAAUUUACACACAUCCACAUUGUUACAAUUCCUCAUCUCAUAGAUAAUUCUUAUUACCACUCAAUCAACUCUAAUCCACUUAAUACUCACCAUUUUCAACCAUCAUAAUCAUAUCAACAAGUCUUGAAGCUUAGGGAACUAUUCAUAGG
This 529-nucleotide long non-coding RNA is filed under the name Capsicum annuum. Its description in RNAcentral is "long non-coding RNA (CANN_LNC012299)". Lineage: Eukaryota; Viridiplantae; Streptophyta; Magnoliopsida; Solanales; Solanaceae. The record is from RNAcentral.